CUCAGGGAGAUCUGGUGACGCCUCCGACUAAGGCUAAACAGCCAGCAUGUACCAGAGUUGGGACUAAAGCAUAGGUCCUCUGAUUCCAGUCGCUUCUAUCUCACCCAGAUUGCACUUGGUAAAAUUCUGUUGUAGGCGCAGACGUCCUUUCCAACCUUUUAUCUCCGCAGAAGCCUCUCCUCUCCCUUGGCUGGGCCCUUAGACAGCUCUCAAAUGCCUCGCCCUCUCAGGAAUACUCCAUGACCUUCUCCCAUUCCCUCUCCAUUCUUCCUCUAAACAAAUCAAUGUCUUUUCCCGUUUCUGCUCAGCUCUCGUAUGCAAACUUUGUCACCCGAAAAAGCAUAAACUUCAUAUAAACCGAUUUCCACUAUUGCCUCCACAGAUGAUCGUUUCACCUUCAGGAAAUCAUUUCACCAAGGCUGCUUCCCCAUUUGAAGAACAAAAACCAGCCAUGAUGUCUAGUUUGUGACUUCCAUUGAAGGAUCCUAUGUGAAUCCCAUCCAGACAAUGCCUAAUAUGAAGUAGAUGCUCAGAAGUGAAAGGCACAUCUUACAUGGCGGCAGACAACAGAAGAGAAUCAGAGCCAAGCCAAAGGGGUUUCCUCUUAUAAAACCAUCAGAUCUCAUGAGCCUUAUUCACGAUGACCACAAAAACAGUAUGGGGGAACUGCCCCCACGAUUCAACUAUCUCCCACUGGGUCCCUCCCACAACAUUAGGGAAUUAUGGGAGCUACAAUUCAAGGUAAGAUUUGGCUGGGGACACAGCUAAACCACACCACCUGGUUUCAUUCAAUGCCACUGAACAUAUUCUCUGGUUCUAGGAUUAGAUCUCCUCUCCUGACCCUGCUGGUAGUAUUUGCUGGGAUCCAGCCCCGUCCCCACAGCCCAGGUGCUGAUUCCUAUAAUGAGGUCAUUUUAGUAUUUUAGUAGCUGAAGAGCUCUAUGCCACAUGUGCUUCAUGUGGAAUUCAACCUCAGAACAAGUACUAUUACAUUUGGGAACUGCCAGU
RNAcentral lists this long non-coding RNA (1008 nucleotides) under Callithrix jacchus (white-tufted-ear marmoset). RNAcentral describes it as "lncRNA (ENSCJAG00000079647.1)". Lineage: Eukaryota; Metazoa; Chordata; Mammalia; Primates; Cebidae. The record is from RNAcentral.